Molecule: ribosomal RNA, 146 nt
Filed under: Ephemera strigata
Lineage: Eukaryota; Metazoa; Arthropoda; Insecta; Ephemeroptera; Ephemeridae
Also listed under: 1 other name
Description: partial 12S ribosomal RNA
Source: RNAcentral
AACAAAAGGGGUUAAAAAGUAUUAUUAGUUAAAGUUAAUGCUUAUAUUUAAAGUCGAAAAAUAUUAUUGUUGUUAGGUGAAAUUUUAAAAUAUGUUAUAGGCUUUAGUUGUAUCAAAUGAAGCUGUGAAAGUUAGUCAAUAAACUA